GAAGGAAAGAAAGGAAGGAAAAGAAGGAAAGGAAGGUGAAGAAGAAGCUUUUGAAGCAAAAAGGCUUCAUCUUCUUCCUCUCUAGGGCAAGAAAGGAAAGCUUACAAGGUAAGCUUUGAUCUAUAUUGUAGGAAAACCCUAGAAUGAGUUUUGAAUGAACCUAGAGAUGGUUUUUAAUGGAAUAUCUAGUAGUUUUGAAGCUUUCUUUUGCUUCUAAAGAGAUCAAAACCUAGUUUUGAUAUAUAGGUGAGCUUGGGCCACCUCUAAUGGUGAAAUCCAAACUAGGGUUUUGGAAAGCCUAAGAAUGGUUCUAAUGGAUUAUUUAGAGUAUAAUGAAGCUACUUUUGCUUCCCAAUGAGAUCAAACCCUAGGUUUGACAUGAGUAUUGGAGCUAGGGCACCAAAUUGGGGCUUUUGCUCAUGAGGGUUUCUAAGUGCAAUUGACCCUCUAAAAACCUAAUUGGGGGUAUUUCCGACGCGUUGGUGCGCUCGGA
This 493-nucleotide long non-coding RNA is filed under the name Ananas comosus (pineapple). RNAcentral's name for it is "long non-coding RNA (ACOM_LNC039694)". Lineage: Eukaryota; Viridiplantae; Streptophyta; Magnoliopsida; Poales; Bromeliaceae. The record is from RNAcentral.